RNA transcript from Oncorhynchus kisutch (coho salmon), 1237 nucleotides. RefSeq lists it as uncharacterized. The transcript has 2 exons. Lineage: Eukaryota; Metazoa; Chordata; Actinopteri; Salmoniformes; Salmonidae. The record is from RefSeq and is a predicted model, not a curated record.
CCUCCGUCCAGUCUGAUGUUUUAAUGCCCUAAUCCCUGAUGUAUACUCCCAUUCUAACAGACCUCUCUACCUCCCCCUCCCUCUCUCUUCCCCUCUCUUCCUCCGUCCAGGCGACCCUGCGGAGGGUGACGUUCUCCGUGGUCCCGGGGCCUCAGGACGGUGGUUGCUAUGACAGCGCUGCAGAGGACUCUGAGACCCCCAGCAGUAAGGGUUCAUCUGGACCCCGAGUGGGGGCGCUGUCUCUCCCCGAGGAGGGGUACGAGAGGACCACACCUGAGGGAAGUGUAGGAGAGGAGGAACAUGUGGAGAACGAUGCCAGACAGCUCCCAGACGUAGCCCUGACAGGGAAGUGCACGAGGGAGUGUGAUGAGUUUGGACACUCCGACACUUGUGGAUGCCCGCCGCUGUCCGCCCGUCGCCUCGGCAACACCAGCGCCAGCGCCACGUCAGCGAGCCGCCCCGCCUGUCCACCUUCGCCUCCCCUGGCAACGACAACAACAAUAACCAUGAUGACGAUGAUGAGGAAGAUAGUGACAGCGAGAGCGCCGGCAGCGCCGGGAGUUCCGAACCGGGCGUAGUCAGCGUGGGAGUCGGCGGAGGAGGUCAGAGGUUACCGUUAGCCAAUGGGGAUCCUCUCGGCAGCCUGGUGGGCAGAGACAGGAUGAACCGGAACGACCACAACCGGAACCUACUCAACCGGAAGAUGACGUCAGCGUCGUACGACACGUUCAGCUCCGCCGGGUUCGGGAGACGCCAUCUCGAGGAGGAUAGGGGGGGUCAGGGCAGGGUCAACCCUCCGGAGGUUAUACCAUUAACGAGGACCGGGGACUACAAGACCACGUCGUGCCUCACGCUCUCCCGUAGAGAGGUCUACCUGUAAGAGCAGGACGGAUGGAUCAGUCCACUGCUGCUGCACCCCUUUGCUGAUGGAAUGGAACAUUCCAUCCCUGUUUGUUCUGGUGAAAUGGAACAGUCCACUUCUAGACAUUGGAAUGAAAUGGUCCAUUUCUGUUGUAGUUCUUUUGUUGAGAACUUUGACCAGCUGUGAAUAAUAACAAUAAUAUCAAUAAUAACAACACCUUAAGAAGAGAGGACCGCUCAGUGGGUUUGGGUUUGUUUUGGAGACAAGACACCACACAACUACAAAACCACCAAAAAGGACACUGGGACCUUAAACUCCAAGAUUAAAUGACUAUAAGGUGUAAAUAAAAAAGAUGAAUGGUGUGAAUUAACUGAA